UACGGAGGGUGCAAGCGUUGUCCGGAUUUAUUGGGUUUAAAGGGUGCGUAGGCGGGAGAUUAAGUCAGUGGUGAAAGACUCCGGCUCAACUGUCGAACCGCCAUUGAUACUGGUAACCUUGAGUAUAGUUGAGGCAGGCGGAAUUUACGAUGUAGCGGUGAAAUGCAUAGAUAUCGUAAAGAACACCUAUAGCGUAGGCAGCUUGCUAAACUAUAACUGACGCUGAGGCACGAAAGCAUGGGUAGCGAACAGG
Molecule: unclassified non-coding RNA, 253 nt
Filed under: uncultured Cytophagales bacterium
Lineage: Bacteria; Pseudomonadati; Bacteroidota; Sphingobacteriia; Sphingobacteriales
Description: contains 16S-23S intergenic spacer region
Rfam family: Bacterial small subunit ribosomal RNA
Source: RNAcentral